RNAcentral lists this ribosomal RNA (253 nucleotides) under uncultured Chondromyces sp. Its description in RNAcentral is "partial 16S ribosomal RNA". It matches the Rfam family "Bacterial small subunit ribosomal RNA", at positions 524 to 776 of the family's 1533-position model. The record is from RNAcentral. Lineage: Bacteria; Pseudomonadati; Myxococcota; Polyangiales; Polyangiaceae.
GACAGAGGGUGCAAACGUUGUUCAGAAUUACUGGGCGUAAAGCGAGUGUAGGCGGUUCGAUAAGUCGGGUGUGAAAGCCCUGGGCUCAACCCAGGAAGUGCACUCGAUACUGUCAGGCUAGAGUAUCGGAGAGGUUGGUGGAAUUCUCGGUGUAGAGGUGAAAUUCGUAGAUAUCGAGAGGAACACCGGUGGCGAAGGCGGCCAACUGGACGAAUACUGACGCUGAGACUCGAAAGCGUGGGGAGCGAACGGG